RNAcentral lists this unclassified non-coding RNA (200 nucleotides) under Agaricostilbomycetes sp. RNAcentral's name for it is "partial internal transcribed spacer 2". The record is from RNAcentral. Lineage: Eukaryota; Fungi; Basidiomycota; Agaricostilbomycetes.
CUAAGUUCAGGGGGUAGUCCUGCUCGAUUGGAGGUCAAAGUGUAUGAAGCGAUUUCUGGUAAGCCCAUCCCGACUGGCGUCCCCAUUGAAAGUGUAAGCUUAUGACAACGGGUCAAGCCGCCAGUACAAAGUACAGCUUGUUGCAUUUCAACGCAGUCUAACACAAAGACAGGCGUCAAGAUCCAACCCAAAACGCUUUC